This 539-nucleotide ribosomal RNA is filed under the name Leuconostoc mesenteroides. Its description in RNAcentral is "bacterial SSU rRNA". It matches the Rfam family "Bacterial small subunit ribosomal RNA", at positions 42 to 563 of the family's 1533-position model. Lineage: Bacteria; Bacillati; Bacillota; Bacilli; Lactobacillales; Lactobacillaceae. The record is from RNAcentral.
GCGUGCCUAAUACAUGCAAGUCGAACGCACAGCGAAAGGUGCUUGCACCUUUCAAGUGAGUGGCGAACGGGUGAGUAACACGUGGACAACCUGCCUCAAGGCUGGGGAUAACAUUUGGAAACAGAUGCUAAUACCGAAUAAAACUUAGUGUCGCAUGACACAAAGUUAAAAGGCGCUUCGGCGUCACCUAGAGAUGGAUCCGCGGUGCAUUAGUUAGUUGGUGGGGUAAAGGCCUACCAAGACAAUGAUGCAUAGCCGAGUUGAGAGACUGAUCGGCCACAUUGGGACUGAGACACGGCCCAAACUCCUACGGGAGGCUGCAGUAGGGAAUCUUCCACAAUGGGCGAAAGCCUGAUGGAGCAACGCCGCGUGUGUGAUGAAGGCUUUCGGGUCGUAAAGCACUGUUGUAUGGGAAGAACAGCUAGAAUAGGAAAUGAUUUUAGUUUGACGGUACCAUACCAGAAAGGGACGGCUAAAUACGUGCCAGCAGCCGCGGUAAUACGUAUGUCCCGAGCGUUAUCCGGAUUUAUUGGGCGUAA